AGCAGUGGGGAUUUUUGGACAAUGGGCGGAAGCUUGAUCCAGCAAUGCGGCGUGCGGGAUGAAAGCCUUCGGGUUGUAAAGUAUUUUUUUGGGGAGGAAACGGUCUCCCUAAUACGGUGGGAUAAUGACGGUACCGUAAGAAUAAGCACCGGCUAACUACGUCCCAGCAGCCGCGGUAAUACGUAGGGUGCGAGCGUUAAUCGGAAUUUCUGGGCGUAAAGCGUGCGCAGGCGGUUAUAUAAGACAGAUGUGAAAUCCCCGGGCUCAACCUGGGACCUGCAUUUGUGACUGUAUAGCUAGAGUACGGUAGAGGGGGAUGGAAUUCCGCGUGUAGCAGUGAAAUGCGUAGAUAUGGGGAGGAACCCCGAUGGCGAAGGCAAUCCCCUGGACCUGUACUGACGCUCAUGCACGAAAGCGUGGGGAGCAAACAGGAUUAGAUACCCUGGUAGUCCACGCCCUAAACGAUGUCAACUGGUUGUUGGGUCUUCACUCACUCAGUAACGCAAGCUAACGCG
RNAcentral lists this ribosomal RNA (515 nucleotides) under uncultured beta proteobacterium. RNAcentral describes it as "bacterial SSU rRNA". It matches the Rfam family "Bacterial small subunit ribosomal RNA", at positions 350 to 859 of the family's 1533-position model. Lineage: Bacteria; Pseudomonadati; Pseudomonadota; Betaproteobacteria. The record is from RNAcentral.